RNAcentral lists this long non-coding RNA (1838 nucleotides) under Theobroma cacao (cacao). RNAcentral's name for it is "long non-coding RNA (TCAC_LNC002470)". The record is from RNAcentral. Lineage: Eukaryota; Viridiplantae; Streptophyta; Magnoliopsida; Malvales; Malvaceae.
UUUUUGUAGCGUAAAAGAAAAAUAAAUUCAUACAUAUUGUAAUACAAAUAGUCAAGGUAUGUAAUUUAAUUUACAAUGACACGUGGGCCCCCAAAUGACAAAAGUGAACGAAGGCUGUGAACCUACGAUUUUUUAAAAAGUAAAGCCAACUGUAGCUUUCGACGAUAUCAGCUAUCUAUAGCCUAUUCUGAGCCUGAAAUGGGUGGAAAGGAGGGUGGUGAGAUUAUAUAAUCCCAGUGAGUAAACAAACACCAUCCAAAAUAUCUAAAGUCGAGUAAAUGGAGACGAUUAAAACAUUCCAUCUCAAUAUGUAAUUCAUAACAUAAAUAUUCAUUUCAUUUAAAUAAUCAACAUGGCUUAUAAGUAUCUUAAAAGCUUGGCUCCUGCCAAAAUCAUUCUCGGGAAUACCUUGGUUGAGGCAUCUAACUGGGUCCACCAAGACUGUUAAACAUUUCGUAUACACGUAAACAUAUUUUUAGUUUGAAAAACACAACUGUUCCUUGGCAUUAGCGGAGUUCAUCAUCACGAGGUGGUUUGGCGUGACGUGAACCCUAACCAUACCUCAAGAGAUACCCUAUGCACCUUUCCGACCGAGGUACGUAUAUAAUCGGAUUUUGUGCCCCUCUAAUAGGCUGGUCUACAGAACCCGCCCACUGCAGCAAGCUAAACCCACCAUACAAUAAAAAUUCAACAGCAUGACAUGGCAAUUUUAUCAUUAUCCAGCCUAUCAAGGCAAACAACAGUUUAUACAUUUUCAACACAAAUACCAAUUCAGCCAUUCAUGCCAAUAUUGCCAUAAGCCAAUCAAUUAGAACCAUAAAUUCACAACACAUCAAAUGGUCUCCAAUUACUCUAUUUUCAAAGCCAUCAUUCAAUUUCAAGACAAUUUAUAAAAUCAUUUCAUUUAAACACAAUUUGUUUAUAAAAUCUUAAAAUUAACCAUUUAAACUCAUUUUCCAUAAAAUUCAAAAAAUUGAAUAAAAAGAUAACUUUAGAUAAUUAAAAUGAUGAUAAGGUUACUCACUAUUUUGGGAGUCGAAUUUUUAGAGUACUCCGACUAUCGAUCCUCGGGUACAAUUUCUUUGCCCUUAUCGGAGGAUUCACCACCUAGACAUAAUGCACAAUCAAGCAAUUUACCACAUUGGUGCUAAACCGUUAUAAAACUAUAUGGAUGCAUGAAAUGGAAUGCAAAUUGUUAGAAUUAUCAUCUAAACACGGUGUUCUACACAAAUUCAAUUGUGUACCUAAAUAAAACGGUAUUGGCCUAAUUCGAUCUAUCACUCGAUUAAUUGGCCAAUAUGUCCAAUUCAACUCCAAUUAACUCUAUUUUUCUUCCAAUUCUCCAAACCAUCAAACACAAGUCAAAUAGCAUAAAAUUUAGCAAAAUUAUCUUCACAUUUUCUCUUGGGAAUUUUGGCCAUGGUGGGUGCAUCAACACUAUGAUUUUUCCUACUUGAUUUUCUCACUGUAAUUCAUCAUUUCCUAACCAAUUCACUUGAAAUAAAAUCAAAUCCACCAUCCACACUUUACAUGGAAAAUUCGGCCAAUGAUGGGUGAUGGGAUGAAGUGAAUUUUUCUUGCUUGAUUUUCAUGCUACACAUCACCAAUCAACUAAAAUCAACCAUCAAAAUCUCUCUCUAAGUGUUCGGCUAGCAAGAGACCUAUCAUGAAAUCAUGUGAUUCAACCAUGAAAAAUGCAAAAGAAUGUAUGGGAAAGGUAGAUCACAAGUGAAAAUCAAGAAAUUAUACCUUCGAUUGUUUGAUUACUUGAAAUCCACUAAUUUUCUCUUGAAUUUUCACUCUAGGUUUUUGUUCUUUCUUUGCUUCCUUUGUUCUUG